This 253-nucleotide ribosomal RNA is filed under the name uncultured bacterium. RNAcentral describes it as "partial 16S ribosomal RNA". It matches the Rfam family "Bacterial small subunit ribosomal RNA", at positions 524 to 776 of the family's 1533-position model. The record is from RNAcentral.
UACAGAGGGUGCAAGCGUUGUUCGGAAUUAUUGGGCGUAAAGGGCGCGUAGGCGGUGCCACAAGUCACCUGUGAAAUCUCCGGGCUUAACUCGGAGCCUGCAGGCGAAACUGUGGUGCUGGAGUGUGGGAGAGGUGCGUGGAAUUCCCGGUGUAGCGGUGAAAUGCGUAGAUAUCAAGUGGAACACCAGUGGCGAAGGCGAGUCUCUGGACAUUUCCUGACGCUGAGGCACGAAAGCCAGGGGAGCAAACGGG